UUAGCUAGUUGGUGAGGUAAAGGCUCACCAAGGCGACGAUCAGUAGCUGGUCUGAGAGGAUGAUCAGCCACAUUGGGACUGAGACACGGCCCAAACUCCUACGGGAGGCAGCAGUGGGGAAUCUUGCGCAAUGGGCGAAAGCCUGACGCAGCCAUGCCGCGUGAAUGAUGAAGGUCUUAGGAUUGUAAAAUUCUUUCACCGGGGACGAUAAUGACGGUACCCGGAGAAGAAGCCCCGGCUAACUUCGUGCCAGCAGCCGCGGUAAUACGAAGGGGGCUAGCGUUGCUCGGAAUUACUGGGCGUAAAGGGAGCGUAGGCGGACAUUUAAGUCAGGGGUGAAAUCCCGGGGCUCAACCUCGGAAUUGCCUUUGAUACUGGGUGUCUUGAGUGUGAGAGAGGUAUGUGGAACUCCGAGUGUAGAGGUGAAAUUCGUAGAUAUUCGGAAGAACACCAGUGGCGAAGGCGACAUACUGGCUCAUUACUGACGCUGAGGCUCGAAAGCGUGGGGAGCAAACAGGAUUAGAUACCCUGGUAGUCCACGCCGUAAACGAUGAUUGCUAGUUGUCGGGAUGCAUGCAUUUCGGUG
Molecule: ribosomal RNA, 586 nt
Filed under: Caulobacteraceae bacterium
Lineage: Bacteria; Pseudomonadati; Pseudomonadota; Alphaproteobacteria; Caulobacterales; Caulobacteraceae
Description: bacterial SSU rRNA
Rfam family: Bacterial small subunit ribosomal RNA
Source: RNAcentral